Molecule: ribosomal RNA, 392 nt
Filed under: uncultured bacterium
Lineage: Bacteria
Description: partial 16S ribosomal RNA
Rfam family: Bacterial small subunit ribosomal RNA
Source: RNAcentral
AUACGGAGGAUCCGAGCGUUAUCCGGAUUUAUUGGGUUUAAAGGGUGCGCAGGCGGCCAUUUAAGUCAGCGGUUAAAUCGUGGGGCUCAACCCCAUUCUGCCGUUGAUACUGGGUGGCUUGAUUGCGGUCGAGGUUGGUGGAAUUCGUUGUGUAGCGGUGAAAUGCAUAGAUAUGACGAAGAACACCGAUUGCGUAGGCAGCUGACCAGACCGCAAAUGACGCUCAUGCACGAAAGUGCGGGGAUCGAACAGGAUUAGAUACCCUGGUAGUCCGCACAGUAAACGAUGAAUACUUGUUUUCGGCGAUAUAAUGUCGGAGGCAAAGCGAAAGCGAUAAGUAUUCCACCUGGGGAGUAUGCCCGCAAGGGUGAAACUUAAAUGAAUUGACGGGG